Molecule: ribosomal RNA, 429 nt
Filed under: Actinomycetes bacterium
Lineage: Bacteria; Bacillati; Actinomycetota; Actinomycetes
Description: Actinobacteria bacterium partial 16S ribosomal RNA
Rfam family: Bacterial small subunit ribosomal RNA
Source: RNAcentral
UAGGGAAUCUUCCGCAAUGGGCGAAAGCCUGACGGAGCAACGCCGCGUGAGUGAUGAAGGUCUUCGGAUCGUAAAACUCUGUUAUUAGGGAAGAACAAAUGUGUAAGUAACUAUGCACGUCUUGACGGUACCUAAUCAGAAAGCCACGGCUAACUACGUGCCAGCAGCCGCGGUAAUACGUAGGUGGCAAGCGUUAUCCGGUAUUAUUGGGCGUAAAGCGCGCGUAGGCGGUUUUUUAAGUCUGAUGUGAAAGCCCACGGCUCAACCGUGGAUGGUCAUUGGAAACUGGAAAACUUGAGUGCAGAAGAGGAAAGGGGAAUUCCAUGUGGAGCGGUGAAAUGCGCAGAGAUAUGGGGGAACACCAGUGGCGAAGGCGACUUUCUGGUCUGUAACUGACGCUGGUGUGCGAAAGCGUGGGGAUCAAACAGG